Molecule: long non-coding RNA, 407 nt
Organism: Alosa sapidissima (American shad)
Lineage: Eukaryota; Metazoa; Chordata; Actinopteri; Clupeiformes; Clupeidae
Exons: 3
Source: RefSeq, a predicted model, not a curated record
GUGUGUGGGUGUGUGUGUGUGUGUGUGUGUAUGUGUGUAUGUGAGUGUGUGUGUGUGUGUUGUCUACAAAACCGGGGCUUGUGUCUGUGUAAUGAAGUACGUGACCAAGAGAGAGCAGACAGCAUGUUCUCAGGCGCCACUUCAAAUGAGACGAGACCACAGCCUCCCAAGGCUUGCUAUCCUCGACUCAUUCCAAUGAGCCUCAUCUGUAGCUCUCCGGUGAGAUGACAACAUCAACAACAACAACAACAACAACAACGCACUGAUGACAUCUACUGGGGAGAAAGCACAGUACAGCCUCAAGAGGCUCACACUGCUGCGCACCCUUGUGUAGUCUGGGUGCUAAUAGGCCAGAGAGCUGCUUUUGUGGCUCAACAUUAGUCAGGAGGAGUGCAAAGCUUUCACAC